This 468-nucleotide ribosomal RNA is filed under the name uncultured bacterium. Its description in RNAcentral is "partial 16S ribosomal RNA". It matches the Rfam family "Bacterial small subunit ribosomal RNA", at positions 28 to 507 of the family's 1533-position model. The record is from RNAcentral.
GACGAACGCUGGCGGCGUGCUUAACACAUGCAAGUCGAACGGAAAGGCCCUGCUUUUAUGGGGUGCUCGAGUGGCGAACGGGUGAGUAACACGUGAGUAACCUGCCCUUGACUUUGGGAUAACUUCAGGAAACUGGGGCUAAUACCGGAUAGGAGCUCCUGCUGCAUGGUGGGGGUUGGAAAGUUUCGGCGGUUGGGGAUGGACUCGCGGCUUAUCAGCUUGUUGGUGGGGUAGUGGCUUACCAAGGCUUUGACGGGUAGCCGGCCUGAGAGGGUGACCGGCCACAUUGGGACUGAGAUACGGCCCAGACCCCUACGGGAGGCAGCAGUGGGGAAUAUUGCACAAUGGGCGGAAGCCUGAUGCAGCAACGCCGCGUGCGGGAUGACGGCCUUCGGGUUGUAAACCGCUUUCGCCUGUGACGAAGCGUGAGUGACGGUAAUGGGUAAAGAAGCACCGGCUAACUACGUG